UUAAGUUCAGCGGGUAGUCCUACUCGAUUUGAGGUCAAGUUGUCAGAUGUUGUCCGAAGACGGUUUGAAGCACAGAGCUCCCGAUCGGCCACCCUCUAAUGAGGCGCCGGCGAAGACACUUAUCACGCCGCACUAUGUCCAACCAAGAGUUGCACUAACACAUUUGAGGUAAGCUACGGUAAGGCAGCAAACCCAAGUCC
Molecule: unclassified non-coding RNA, 200 nt
Filed under: Sebacina sp.
Lineage: Eukaryota; Fungi; Basidiomycota; Agaricomycetes; Sebacinales; Sebacinaceae
Description: partial internal transcribed spacer 2
Source: RNAcentral